GUCUAAUCAGCUGCUAGCGUGGCUAGAACAUAAGCAGACAGAAAUAUGUGAAAAGAGAGACUGGCCUAGCCUCCUAGCCUACAUCUUUCUCUCGUGCUGGAUGCUUCCUGACCUUAAACGUUGGACUCCAAGUUCUUCAGUUUUGGAACUUGGAUUGGCUCUCCUUGCUCCUCAGCCUGCAGACAGCCUAUGGUGGGACCUUGUGAUCAUGUGAAGAAAUGACACCAGGAGGAUGACUUGCUGGUUCGUGAUGGGACUCACCUCUGCUAAUGCAAGGGCUGACUGCCAUAAUCACCUCGUAUGUGGACAUUUAUGACAUCCCAAGACUCAUAAUUUCCCUUGAGAAGUUCCAAGUUUAGUAGAUGGAAAAGAUGUUGCCUGCUCCAGCAGUGUCUUCCGAUGAAGGUCCAGGGCUGCAUCCCAAACACCCCCACCGACAGCUCAGCCAACAGGACGGAUCACGACUGAAACAGAUGUUCUUGCUCCCCCGGCCAAAAAGUUGGAGUCCCUCCCUGGAGAUGAGACACUUCCCUUUGACACCAGAAGCACCUUCCUGAUUUCAUCAGAUGAGAUACUUGUUUGGGGAAUGACCCCAAUGUCUUGCCUUAAGCAAACAAAUAAAAUGUUUGAAUUUAGUGAGGGCAUGAACCCGAUAUGUAAAAUGUAGAGUUAGGAAAAUUAUAUUGUAUAGAAAAUAGCACAUUAUUUCCCUGGUGAGCCAGCAACCUCCCAAAAUAAUUGUGUAAAACAGAGGAUAAAAAGAGCUCAGCAAGAAACCCUUAUGUCCUCGAGAAGGCAACCAAAUUGGAGAAUGAGGUUUAGUAUACGGUAUUUCUCAACAAGAACUGUAAAACUGAAUUAAAACCUGAAAGCAAUGAUAAAACUCUUACUAAAAUAUGUAGUCCAUGCAUUUCUUCUGUGUGAUUCUUCCGU
RNAcentral lists this long non-coding RNA (933 nucleotides) under Homo sapiens (human). RNAcentral's name for it is "HSALNT0337812". The record is from RNAcentral. Lineage: Eukaryota; Metazoa; Chordata; Mammalia; Primates; Hominidae.